AGCCACAACUUGAGAGUGGGGAUAAAACAUCUCUACAUAUAGAUUAUCCGAUGUUGUUUGAGCUUCGAAAUGACCUUGCAGAGAGGGUCUCUCACUAUGGGGUGUUAGAGUUCGUAGCAGAGGAAGGCAUGAUCUAUAUGCCUUAUUGGAUGAUGGAAAAUAUGCUCUUACAAGAGGGAGACUUUGUGCGUGUGAAGAAUGUGACUCUUCCGAAGGGGACAUAUGUUAAAUUGCAACCCCAUACUAAGGACUUUUUGGACAUUUCAAACCCAAAAGCUA
Molecule: long non-coding RNA, 279 nt
Organism: Humulus lupulus (European hop)
Lineage: Eukaryota; Viridiplantae; Streptophyta; Magnoliopsida; Rosales; Cannabaceae
Exons: 3
Source: RefSeq, a predicted model, not a curated record